This 375-nucleotide ribosomal RNA is filed under the name Lomentospora prolificans. RNAcentral describes it as "LSU rRNA". It matches the Rfam family "Eukaryotic large subunit ribosomal RNA", at positions 266 to 661 of the family's 3401-position model. Lineage: Eukaryota; Fungi; Ascomycota; Sordariomycetes; Microascales; Microascaceae. The record is from RNAcentral.
CGAGUUGUUUGGGAAUGCUGCUCAAAAUGGGAGGUAAACCCCUUCUAAAGCUAAAUAUUGGCCAGAGACCGAUAGCGCACAAGUAGAGUGAUCGAAAGAUGAAAAGCACUUUGAAAAGAGAGUUAAACAGCACGUGAAAUUGUUGAAAGGGAAGCGCUUGCGACCAGACUUGUGCUCGUCGAAUCAGCCGUCGCUCGUCGGCGGCGCAUUUCGGCGGGCUCAGGCCAGCAUCAGUUCGCUGUAGGGGGAGAAAGGCGGUAGGAAUGUGGCUCUUCGGAGUGUUAUAGCCUGCCGUGUAAUACCCCUCGGCGGACUGAGGACCGCGCAUCUGCAAGGAUGCUGGCGUAAUGGUUGUCAGCGNCCCGUCUUGAAACC